Molecule: ribosomal RNA, 1532 nt
Filed under: Francisella orientalis LADL 07-285A
Lineage: Bacteria; Pseudomonadati; Pseudomonadota; Gammaproteobacteria; Thiotrichales; Francisellaceae
Description: Francisella noatunensis subsp. orientalis LADL--07-285A 16S ribosomal RNA
Rfam family: Bacterial small subunit ribosomal RNA
Source: RNAcentral
UUAAACUGAAGAGUUUGAUCCUGGCUCAGAUUGAACGCUGGUGGCAUGCUUAACACAUGCAAGUCGAACGGUAACAGGUCUUCGGAUGCUGACGAGUGGCGGACGGGUGAGUAACGCGUAGGAAUCUGCCCAUCUGUGGGGGAUACCAGUUGGAAACGACUGUUAAUACCGCAUAAUAUCUGCGGAUUAAAGGUGGCCUUUGCGCUGCCGCAGAUGGAUGAGCCUGCGUUGGAUUAGCUAGUUGGUGGGGUAAGGGCCUACCAAGGCUACGAUCCAUAGCUGAUUUGAGAGGAUGAUCAGCCACAUUGGGACUGAGACACGGCCCAAACUCCUACGGGAGGCAGCAGUGGGGAAUAUUGGACAAUGGGGGAAACCCUGAUCCAGCAAUGCCAUGUGUGUGAAGAAGGCUCUAGGGUUGUAAAGCACUUUAGUUGGGGAGGAAAGCCUGUGAGUUAAUAGCUUGCAGGAAGGACGUUGCCCAAAGAAUAAGGACCGGCUAACUCCGUGCCAGCAGCCGCGGUAAUACGGGGGGUCCGAGCGUUAAUCGGAAUUACUGGGCGUAAAGGGUCUGUAGGUGGUUUGUUAAGUCAGAUGUGAAAGCCCAGGGCUCAACCUUGGAACUGCAUUUGAUACUGACAAACUAGAGUAUGGUAGAGGAAUAGGGAACUUCUGGUGUAGCGGUGAAAUGCGUAGAGAUCAGAAGGAACACCAAUGGCGAAGGCAACAUUCUGGACCAAUACUGACACUGAGGGACGAAAGCGUGGGGAUCAAACAGGAUUAGAUACCCUGGUAGUCCACGCUGUAAACGAUGAGUACUAGCUGUUGGAUUCGGUGUAAAGGAUCUAGUGGCGCAGCUAACGCGUUAAGUACUCCGCCUGGGGACUACGGCCGCAAGGCUAAAACUCAAAGGAAUUGACGGGGACCCGCACAAGCGGUGGAGCAUGUGGGUUUAAUUCGAUGCAACGCGAAGAACCUUACCUGGUCUUGACAUCCUGCGAACUUUCUAGAGAUAGAUUGGUGCCUUCGGGAACGCAGUGACAGGUGCUGCACGGCUGUCGUCAGCUCGUGUUGUGAAAUGUUGGGUUAAGUCCCGCAACGAGCGCAACCCCUAUUGAUAGUUACCAUCAUUAAGUUGGGUACUCUAUUGAGACUGCCGCUGACAAGGCGGAGGAAGGUGGGGACGACGUCAAGUCAUCAUGGCCCUUACGACCAGGGCUACACACGUGCUACAAUGGGUAUUACAGAGGGCUGCGAAGGUGCGAGCUGGAGCGAAACUCAGAAAGGUACUCUUAGUCCGGAUUGCAGUCUGCAACUCGACUGCAUGAAGUCGGAAUCGCUAGUAAUCGCAGGUCAGAAUACUGCGGUGAAUACGUUCCCGGGUCUUGUACACACCGCCCGUCACACCAUGGGAGUGGGUUGCUCCAGAAGUAGAUAGCUUAACGAAUGGGCGUUUACCACGGAGUGAUUCAUAACUGGGGUGAAGUCGUAACAAGGUAGCCGUAGGGGAACCUGCGGCUGGAUCACCUCCUUAA